Molecule: long non-coding RNA, 299 nt
Organism: Bos indicus x Bos taurus (hybrid cattle)
Lineage: Eukaryota; Metazoa; Chordata; Mammalia; Artiodactyla; Bovidae
Source: Ensembl
AGGAAAUGUCACAAUGUGACAUCCUUCUGCCACAGUGUGAAAGGAAGCGAGAUGGAGGUAUCUGCUGUUUACCAUGCAGGUAGAAUGAGACUGGGAAGGCUUGAGCAUGAACUUCCACUGGGUCACCCUGAUAGUGUCACAUCACCACUCUUUCAGCAUGCCAUCCAGAACUAGUGACAGAACAUGCUAACUGGAGGAAGAAGGUACAUUUGGCACCAGAAUGAGGCAAACGAAGUUAUGUCCAAAGUGGAAGUCUCCAAGGGGUCUGUAUUCAAUAGGAGCAAACGUGAGACAAAGAG